GAUGAACGCUGGCGGCGUGCCUAACACAUGCAAGUCGAGCGAUUCUCUUCGGAGAAGAGCGGCGGACGGGUGAGUAACGCGUGGGUAACCUGCCCUGUACACACGGAUAACAUACCGAAAGGUAUGCUAAUACGAGAUAAUAUGCUUUUAUCGCAUGGUAGAAGUAUCAAAGCUCCGGCGGUGCAGGAUGGACCCGCGUCUGAUUAGCUAGUUGGUAAGGUAACGGCUUACCAAGGCGACGAUCAGUAGCCGACCUGAGAGGGUGAUCGGCCACAUUGGAACUGAGACACGGUCCAAACUCCUACGGGAGGCAGCAGUGGGGAAUAUUGCACAAUGGGCGAAAGCCCGAUGCAGCAACGCCGCGUGAGCGAUGAAGGCCUUCGGGUCGUAAAGCUCUGUCCUCAAGGAAGAUAAUGACGGUACUUGAGGAGGAAGCCCCGGCUAACUACGUGCAGCCGCCGCCGUAA
RNAcentral lists this ribosomal RNA (467 nucleotides) under uncultured bacterium. RNAcentral's name for it is "partial 16S ribosomal RNA". It matches the Rfam family "Bacterial small subunit ribosomal RNA", at positions 28 to 523 of the family's 1533-position model. The record is from RNAcentral.